Molecule: ribosomal RNA, 492 nt
Filed under: uncultured bacterium
Lineage: Bacteria
Description: partial 16S ribosomal RNA
Rfam family: Bacterial small subunit ribosomal RNA
Source: RNAcentral
AGUGAACGCUGGCGGUAGGCCUAACACAUGCAAGUCGAACGGCAGCACAGUAAGAGCUUGCUCUUACGGGUGGCGAGUGGCGGACGGGUGAGGAAUGCAUCGGAAUCUACUUUUUCGUGGGGGAUAACGUAGGGAAACUUACGCUAAUACCGCAUACGACCUACGGGUGAAAGCAUGGGAUCUUCUGACCUUGUGCGAUUGAAUGAGCCGAUGUCGGAUUAGCUAGUUGGCGGGGUAAAGGCCCACCAAGGCGACGAUCCGUAGCUGGUCUGAGAGGAUGAUCACCCACACUGGAAGUGAGACACGGUCCAGACUCCUACGGGAGGCAGCAGUGGGGAAUAUUGGACAAAGGGCGCAAGCCUGAUCCAGCCAUACCGCGUGGGUGAAGAAGGCCUUCGGGUUGUAAAGCCCUUUUGUUGGGAAAGAAAAGCAGCAGGUUAAUACCCCGCUGUUCUGACGGUACCCAAAGAAUAAGCACCGGCUAACUUCGUG